AAACGGCUGGGGCCUCACUCACGGCAUAUGGAACUAACCACGCCCCUAACUAAGAAGGCACACCUUAGUUGCAGUUAGCACACAAUUAAAGCAACUCUCCAAGUUUUACCUUAAAGUUCAAAAUUGCUAGGAGUUGAAACUACUAGAAAUAUAUUUACAUGCAAGAGUCAAAGAAACUUUGAACUAUUUAUGGCCUUUAAUAAUUAAGUAAGGUAUACUCCUGUGAUCAAGACUUGGAGCAUAUUUGUUUCUCUCUGCCUGGUUCCUCUAGAAAUUGGAAACUAUCAGAACAGAGACCAACUCCGUUUCCCGAUCCCUUUGCAAUCUGCAUUGAACCAUGAGUCAAGUUCUUGAUAAAGGAGUGAAAAUGGAUGACAUUUAAGGCACAUCUGAAGAUGGGGAAACCACAGCACAGAAUAAGGCUGGGCCCUUGAAUCAAUAAAUGAAGGAGAACUACUCAAGAGAACAAAACCACCAGCAAUAUCCACCUGUAUUUGUCUUUUCAUAAUGUGUGACACAUGUGCUCAUGGAUUAUUGUCCGAAGCAAGACAUGUGACCAAGCCUAACAUCAACUGGGUGAAGAGCUAUAUGUUCCUUUCUCAAGAGGCACUACAAGUGACAUGCCACUGGGCAGAUGGAGUCUCGCUCUGUCACCCAGGCUAGAGUGCAGUACCGCAAUCUCGGCUCGCUGCAAGCUCUGACUCCCAGGUUCACACCAUUCUCCUGCCUCAGCCUCCCAAGUAGCUGGCACUACAGGCGCCCACCACCAUGCCUGGCUAAUUUUUUAUAUUUUUAGUAGAGAAGGGGUUUCGCCGUGUUAGCCAGAAUGGUCUUGAUCUCCUGACCUCAUGAUCUGCCCACCUCGGCCUCCCAAAGUGCUGGGAUUACAGGCGUGAGCCACCGCGACUGGCCUAACAUAUUUUUAAAACCUGCAGAAUGUUUGUAUUACUUUUGUCAUAGUACAUAACAUUUAAAUGGAUUUCUUGUUUGUGUAUGUGUGUAUAUUCAUUCACAACACUGAUAGUUUUUCUGAAUAUUUCCUUUGGAUUUUAUUCUUUUCUCAUUCAACUAAAUAAGAACCUGCACCAUCUUUUUCUAGUGUAAAAAUUACAAUAUCUGAAGUGAAACUACUAGAAUAAAU
This 1141-nucleotide long non-coding RNA is filed under the name Homo sapiens (human). Its description in RNAcentral is "non-protein coding LINC01515:33". Lineage: Eukaryota; Metazoa; Chordata; Mammalia; Primates; Hominidae. The record is from RNAcentral.